AUGGAAAAUUGGACAUGGAAGCGGGAACUGAUCCGGUCUGUGUUUGUUGCACCUGAUGCUAAUGCCAUCUUAAAUAUCCCACUGCGUGCGGGCGGUGGGGAUGAUUUCUUAGCUUGGGCUCAUGAAAGGAGUGGAAUCUACUCUGUUAAAUCUGCGUAUCGUUCUCUGGUGACUCGCAAAGAUCAUCUAGCUCUGGAGGAAGGGACGAUUACAAACACCUCACAGACUGAAGAACAGAUGUGGAAGUUACUCUGGAAGCUCAAGGUUUUGCCAAAGGUGCGGGUCUUC
Molecule: ribosomal RNA, 288 nt
Filed under: Triticum aestivum (bread wheat)
Lineage: Eukaryota; Viridiplantae; Streptophyta; Magnoliopsida; Poales; Poaceae
Description: partial small subunit ribosomal RNA
Source: RNAcentral